GACGAACGCUGGCGGUGUGCUUAACACAUGCAAGUCGAACGGUAAGGCCCUUUCGGUGGUACACUAGUGGCGAACGGGUGCGUAACACGUGCGUAACCUUCCCUCAUCUCUAGGAUAACAGUCGGAAACGGUUGCUAAUACUGGAUAUGAGCUUUCUAUGCAUCUUGUUGGUUGGAAAGUUUUUUUGUGGUUUGUGAUGGACUCUCGGCCGAUCAGCUUUAUGGUGGGUAAGUGGCUCACCAAGGCUUUGACGGGUAGCCGGCCUGAGAGGGCGACCGGCCACAUUGGGACUGAGAUACGGCCCAAACUACUACGGGAGGCAGCAGGGGGGAAGAUUGCACGAUGGACGGAAGUCUGAUGCAGCAACGCCGCGUGCGGGAUGACGGCCUUCGGGUUGUAAGACGAUUUCAAUAGUGACGAAGCUUUUUUGUGACGGUAGCAGUAGAAGAAGCAACGGCUAACUACGUG
RNAcentral lists this ribosomal RNA (468 nucleotides) under uncultured bacterium. Its description in RNAcentral is "partial 16S ribosomal RNA". It matches the Rfam family "Bacterial small subunit ribosomal RNA", at positions 28 to 507 of the family's 1533-position model. The record is from RNAcentral.